Long non-coding RNA from Lontra canadensis (Northern American river otter), 648 nucleotides. RefSeq lists it as uncharacterized. NCBI's taxonomy places the organism in Eukaryota, Metazoa, Chordata, Mammalia, Carnivora, Mustelidae. The record is from RefSeq and is a predicted model, not a curated record. The transcript has 5 exons.
CGCGCAGCACCGCAGGUCGGAGAAGUCCCCUGAAGAGUGGAGGGCCUGUGCGGGUCCCGCCCUUAACCACCCGCUGCGGGUCCGGCCCGAAGCGGACCUUCGCUCCCGAAUCCGGAAGGCCCCGGGCGCCUCCAUCUUGACGGAGAGAAAGAGCUCCGGGAACGGCGAGAAGGAACGAAAAGAGAGAGUACUUGAGUCCCGCGUCUGUGCAGGUGAAUGACAAGACUCUCGUGUUACAGGAGAGGACACUGAGGCGCAGAGAAGCGAUACCUCCCUGCCCCCACCUGGUCACAGCAAGUCGCAGCUAGAGGAGCCCCUAAAAGUAAGCCCAGUGCUGGACCGAGGCUCAGCAGGUCCCCUCUCUCGGCACCUCCAUUUCUCAUCUGUAAAAUGGGGACAACUGCACCUCUCGAUGAAAGUCCUGUUGCAGAAGGGAGAGCACCCAUGGAUGCUUAGGACACAGCUGGAUACACUAGCUCACCGGAAGAGCGUUUGGAGCAGGAACAGCAAGUGCAAAUGCCCAGGGGCAGGAUGGAAUAGGACAGGACAGAAGCAUGCAGAAGGGAUCAGACAACAAGGACGUCCAUCGAAAUGGGACCAUACAGUACGCACGCCUGCGGAAGGCUGCUUUCACACGACGCGUUUGCG